ACAAAUUAGAGUGCUCAAAGCAGGCCGUUGGUCGCCUGAAUACUGUGUGCAUGGAAUAAUAGAAUAGGACCUCGGUUCCAUUUUGUUGGUUUUCAGAACUCGAGGUAAUGAUUAAUAGGGACGGACGGGGGCAUUCGUAUUGCGACGUUAGAGGUGAAAUUCUUGGAUCGUCGCAAGACGAACCGAUGCGAAAGCAUUUGCCAAGAACGUUUUCGUUGAUCAAGAACGAAAGUUAGAGGUUCGAAGGCGAUCAGAUACCGCCCUAGUUCUAACCAUAAACGAUGCCAGCUAGCCAUCCGCCGAAGUUCCUUAUAUGACUCGGCGGGCAGCUUCCGGGAAACCAAAGCUCUUGGGUUCCGGGGGAAGUAUGGUUGCAAAGCUCAAACUUAAAGGAAUUGACGGAAGGGCACCACCAGGAGUGGAGCCUGCGGCUUAAUUUGACUCAACACGGGAAACCUCACCAGGCCCAGACACCGGUAGGAUUGACAGAAUAAGAGCUCUUUCUUGAUUCGGUGGGUGGUGGUGCAUGGCCGUCCUUAGUUGGUGGAGC
This 550-nucleotide ribosomal RNA is filed under the name Pantala flavescens. RNAcentral's name for it is "SSU rRNA". It matches the Rfam family "Eukaryotic small subunit ribosomal RNA", at positions 761 to 1307 of the family's 1831-position model. Lineage: Eukaryota; Metazoa; Arthropoda; Insecta; Odonata; Libellulidae. The record is from RNAcentral.